Molecule: ribosomal RNA, 253 nt
Filed under: uncultured bacterium
Lineage: Bacteria
Also listed under: 1 other name
Description: partial 16S ribosomal RNA
Rfam family: Bacterial small subunit ribosomal RNA
Source: RNAcentral
UACGUAGGUGGCAAGCGUUAUCCGGAUUUACUGGGUGUAAAGGGCGUGUAGGCGGGAAGGCAAGUCAGAUGUGAAAACUAUGGGCUCAACCCAUAGCCUGCAUUUGAAACUGUUUUUCUUGAGUGCUGGAGAGGCAAUCGGAAUUCCGUGUGUAGCGGUGAAAUGCGUAGAUAUACGGAGGAACACCAGUGGCGAAGGCGGAUUGCUGGACAGUAACUGACGCUGAGGCGCGAAAGCGUGGGGAGCAAACAGG